Molecule: non-coding RNA, 74 nt
Organism: Aedes aegypti (yellow fever mosquito)
Lineage: Eukaryota; Metazoa; Arthropoda; Insecta; Diptera; Culicidae
Source: Rfam
CCUCUCAUGUGCGUAGUGGUAACGCGCCCCAACUAGAGAUCGGGGAGUCGUGAGUUCGAUUCUCACUGAGAAGA